CAAGCCUGAUCCAGCCAUGCCGCGUGUGUGAAGAAGGCCUUCGGGUUGUAAAGCACUUUUGUUCGGGAAGAAAUCGUACGGAUUAAUACUUUGUACGGAUGACGGUACCGAAAGAAUAAGCACCGGCUAACUUCGUGCCAGCAGCCGCGGUAAUACGAAGGGUGCAAGCGUUACUCGGAAUCACUGGGCGUAAAGCGUGCGUAGGCGGUUCGUUAAGUCUGCUGUGAAAGCCCUGGGCUCAACCUGGGAACUGCAGUGGAUACUGGCGGACUAGAGUGUGAUAGAGGAUGGUGGAAUUCCCGGUGUAGCGGUGAAAUGCGUAGAGAUCGGGAGGAACACCAGUGGCGAAGGCGGCCAUCUGGAUCAACACUGACGCUGAGGCACGAAAGCGUGGGGAGCAAACAGGAUUAGAUACCCUGGUAGUCCACGCCCUAAACGAUGCGAACUGGACGUUGGUUGCAACUUGGCAAUCAGUGUCGAAGCUAACGCGUUAAGUUCGCCGCCUGGGGAGUACGGUCGCAAGACUGAAACUCAAAGGAAUUGACGGAAGC
Molecule: ribosomal RNA, 551 nt
Filed under: uncultured bacterium
Lineage: Bacteria
Description: bacterial SSU rRNA
Rfam family: Bacterial small subunit ribosomal RNA
Source: RNAcentral